RNAcentral lists this unclassified non-coding RNA (1491 nucleotides) under Leishmania donovani. Its description in RNAcentral is "gene:LdHU3.30.4060(CDS-product:hypothetical_prote in_conserved)". The record is from RNAcentral. Lineage: Eukaryota; Euglenozoa; Kinetoplastea; Trypanosomatida; Trypanosomatidae.
AUACAGCGUACAACGCGCUACCUCCCCUGCACCAGUGUCCACGCACACACACACACACACACACACGCGUGUGCGCGUGUAUUGACGUUACAACCAAAACACCACACACCCGCGCACGCUUUCCCAUCUUGCUUUCUUCCCUUUGGGUGUGCGUUUGUGUGUGUGUUGAUUUCCUUCUGCACAGCCAUCAGCUGCCGCUCGCGUGCGUGCAGAGCGGACGUGCUUCACGAGCUCGCACACGCCCCUCAACCCAUCCCACCGGUGUAGACGCCCUCUUUCUCUUUCUCUCUCCCCCUUUUCUUUCGUUCGAAGGCUAGCUACCACUCUCGCCUCAUCAUGGCCGCCGCAACAAACAGCAACUCUAAGUUCUUUGUGCCGGAGCUGACGCAGGAAGACGUGCCGGGGGGCGCGUGCUGCGUGGAUGAAACAACGUUUGCCACACUCUUCCCGUCCUACUUGGAGAGCUAUAUCAAGAGCAUCUGGCCCGCGGUGGAGGAGCUGCUCGGGCAGCAUCAGCUCGUCGGCAAGCUCGAUCUGCUGGAGGGCAGCAUGACGGUGGCGACGACACGCCGCACCUGGGACCCGUACGCGAUCAUCGACGCCCGCGACUUCAUCAAGCUGCUUGCCCGUAACGUCCCUCUUGCCCAGGCGCAGAAGAUCUUUCAGACCGACAUCACGUGUGAUAUUAUCAACAUCUCCGUCAAGGGCGGCAGCGUGCGGCGCUUUGUGAAGCGACGCGAUCGCUUGAUCGGACCACAGGCGCAGACCCUGAAAGCACUAGAAAUUCUAACCGGAUGCUACGUCCUCGUGCAGGGUAAAACGGUUGCGGUGAUGGGCCCCGUGAAGGGGACGCAGAUGGUCCGGAGCAUCGUCGAGGACUGCAUGAAUAACAUUCACCCCAUCUAUGGCCUGAAACAGCUGUUGAUCAAGCGCGAGCUGAGCAAGCGCGAGGACAUGAAGCACGAGGACUGGUCCCGUUUCAUUCCCGUCUACAAGAAGACGCAGCCGAACAAGGAGAAGCAGAAGGCCGUGCGCAAGAUGAAGAAGGAGCGGAUGAAGGAGGCGAAACGGAAGCAGGCCGUCAAGGAGAAGAGCAUCUUCCCACCGGCCCCGCCAAAGCGUCUGGAGGAUAUCGCGAUGGAAAGCGGACAGGCCUUCCUCGCCCCGCGUCAGCGCCGCCACACGGACGAGUUAGAGCUGCAAAGUGCUACAUCGCCAUCCCCGUCGGCCUCUGCGCGCACCCGCAACAGCAAGGGCAGCAGCAGCAAGAGGGAUGCGCCAGCCUCCAAGAUCAAAAAGUAACCGCGGCGCUUGCUGCCUUUUCUGCUGCCUUUCAGUGGUUUCGUGCUGACGGCGGUGACUGUAAAACGAGUCGUCCGCUGCCGCUGACGAGAUCGUGUUUGUGUGUGUGGGUGUGGGCGUUCGGUUCUUGCUUCUCUCGUUUAAGCCACUCCCUCCCUUUCUUCCAUCCCUGCCACGGCAGCGGUAAGU